AUGAGCUUUUGGGGAGCAACAGUAAUUACAAGCUUAGCUAGCGCCACACCAGUAGUAGGAGAUACCAUAGUGACUUGGCUUUGGGGUGGUUUCUCCAUGGACAAUGCCACCUUAAAUCAUUUUUUUAGUCUCCAUCAUUUACUCGCCCUUGUUCUUCCUUUUGAUUUAAACAUUCUCCCCCGGGAGCUGCAGAAUUCUGGCAGGGGCAGCCCCCUUUUCCAGAUCAUGAAAAUGUGGAGAGUGAUGAUUCAUCAACUGAUUCAUCAGGGAGUUCAUCUGAUGAUUCAUCAACUGAUUCAUCAGGGAGUUCAUCUGAUGAUUCAUCAACUGAUGAAUCGGAUCUCGACACAGAUUAUGAUGAGCUAA
This 366-nucleotide ribosomal RNA is filed under the name Triticum aestivum (bread wheat). Its description in RNAcentral is "partial small subunit ribosomal RNA". Lineage: Eukaryota; Viridiplantae; Streptophyta; Magnoliopsida; Poales; Poaceae. The record is from RNAcentral.